AGUCUUGUAAGAUCGCUGAAAAGCAGAUGUCUGGGCCUUCCUACCCUUUCUGUGUCUGCAGGCAUCUGAGAGUUGAAGGGCAGAGAAGCUGCCCACAAGACUGCCGGAGACACCACUGAAUGGGGUUUUGGGGCUGAUGGCAUAUGCGUUUCUCUUUUAAAUAUAUAUAUUUUUUUCAUCUUGGUUAAAACCACAAGUAUUUGAAAUACUCUCAAAGGAAUGAAAUCUCAGACCUGUGGAAUGUCAGUCGUGGAAAUUAAAUGGGCACCACGUGACCUAGCAAAUGCCACUGUGGAAAAUAAACGCAUAAGGCUGAGCAGACCUACUGUUUACGCUAACAUUUUGAGAUGACAGGCAAUCACUUUCAAAACCACGACCAGAGGCAGAGCUCUGAGAAGGCUUCAGUCAAGAGUGUUUUAAAGCAAAUUGACGAUUCGGCUGUGAUUCUCUAGCAAAUUAAGGAUCUGCUCUUGAAUACUGGACAAUGAGAGCCCAGAGAAAGCUACUGAAUACACACAAAUGCAUUCUUCCCUUUUUUUUUUUUUUUUUGAGGAAUAUUAGCCCUGAGCUAACAUCUGCUGCCAAUCCUCUUCUUUUUCGCUGAGGAAGACUGGCCCUGAGCUAACAUCCGUGUCCAUCUUCCCCUACUUUAUAUGUGGGACAUCUGCCACAGCAUGGCUUAACAAGCAGUGCGUAGGUCUGCACCCAGGAUCUGAACCAGUGAACCCUGAGCCACCGAACCAGAACGUGCACACUUAACCACUGCACCACUGGGCUGGCCCCACACUCUUCCUUUUUGGCCACAAGAGACUGUGCUGGUAAUACUCGUCUUGCUCGAUGCUCUUUGCAGCUGUGCAAAACCAAGAUCUCAUAUUAUAAGGAGCGAGCACUAUAGCUUAACUCUGAUGUGAUGCUAGAGAUAGCAUUGCAAAUGCAGAAGACUUGGCCACAUGGCACCACGCAGCUGGAAUCAAUUGGAGUGAAUGUGGGCGGCUGCCGAGGCCUGCCCCGGGGAAGCGGUGGGAAGCCCUUCCCUCUGGUUUGGCAAGGUUUGGCUCAAGCCUGCCAGAAUCAUCAGCCUCCUUGGGGCAGCCACGGAGAGCAAGAACUUGGCCCACACCCGCCUUCAGCAGAAUGAAACCCAGGCCCCUGUGGACAGCUCAGGCCCUGCCCAUAUUUUCACCUGGAUUGCUGGAAUAAACACUCAACUAGGAGUAUUCUCUUCUCAAAGGGAGAGACAAAGCAGUGUGGAUAUUUCCCAGAAAAAAAGCAAAAUCCAGUCAGUUGCUUUCAGGCCUUCAAAGCAUUAAAAUUGAGGUCUUAUGUUUCACAGUGUAUAGAAGCCAAACCUUGGCUGAAUUGUGUAGUUGGAUGGUUUGUAUUUGCACCUCUCUCCUCCUCCCCUCGGGUCUCCUUUCCUAAUUUUAAGCAUCUCAGCUCAUUUGAUUAAAAUAUACGUGUGGCCUACAGUGUGUUUUGUCACUGGCUUUGUACAGGAAAUACUGAGUGACUGAGACAUGCCCAGGGCCUGUCUUCAGGUUGCUUACAAGCUCUUCCACAUUCUUGUGUCUCUCCUCAGUCUCAGGAU
Equus caballus (horse) is the source of this 1588-nucleotide long non-coding RNA. Lineage: Eukaryota; Metazoa; Chordata; Mammalia; Perissodactyla; Equidae. The record is from Ensembl.